UUCUCAGGCACAUUAAUUAUAUAUUGUAAUAAUUUACUCCAGAUCCAGAACAAUUUUACUCUUUUUUGGGAGUUGAAACGACCCCUGGAGUAAAAUUAAGGAGUACAAAUUACUCCAUAAUUUCUACUCCUAAACGCGAGUUUAGUUUACUCCUCCAGCGGAGUAAAAUUGACUCCUGAUGGAGUAAAUUGUGGAAUGCGCGCCGAAGUGGAGUAGUUUUAACUCUAUUUUGGGAGUAGAUUUUACUCCACUAUUUUUACUCUCCCGAGUUGAGUAGUUUUAACUCCUAUGGUGGAGUUAAAAUAACUCCUUGAAAUUAACAGUGCGUGUAAACAAUUUGUGGGAGUUUUCUCAUCGUGUUUUUAAUCCUGUAAAAGCUAUAAAAAGGCGAACAACUUGCCGUUUUCUCGUUCGCAAAACAUCGGAAAUUCAGUUUGAGCCGCCAUUUUGUUUUUCUCUACUAGCAGGAUACGAGCUAAUAUCCUGCUAGUAGAGAACCAAUCAGAUUGCAGAAUACCUCAUAUCGAGAC
Molecule: non-coding RNA, 530 nt
Organism: Paramuricea clavata
Lineage: Eukaryota; Metazoa; Cnidaria; Anthozoa; Malacalcyonacea; Plexauridae
Source: the annotation of a GenBank genome assembly